Molecule: ribosomal RNA, 471 nt
Filed under: uncultured bacterium
Lineage: Bacteria
Description: SSU rRNA
Rfam family: Bacterial small subunit ribosomal RNA
Source: RNAcentral
AGGAUAAACGCUGGCGGCGUGCCUAACACAUGCAAGUCGAACGCGCUUUCGGGCUUCGGUGCGAGAGCGAGUGGCGGACGGGUGAGUAACACAUGGGUACCUACCUUGGAGUGAGGGAUACCGGCGAGAAAUCGCCGACAAUACCGCAUAGGCUUCUUCACAAGGGAAGCAAAGUGACGCGAGUCACGCUGUGAGAUGGGCCUGUGGCCGAUUAGCUAGUUGGGGGGGUAACGGCUUCCCAAGGCGACGAUCGGUAGCUGGUCUGAGAGGACGAUCAGCCACACUGGGAUUGAGAACGGCCCAGACUCCUACGGGGGCAGCAGUGAGGAAUUUUCCGCAAUGGAGGCAACUCUGACGGAGCAACGCCGCGUGCAGGAGGAAGGUUUUCGGAUCGUAAACUGCUUUUCGUCGGGGACGAGCAAGGACGGUACCCGAGGAAGAAGCCCCGGCUAACUACGUGCCAGCAGCCGC